CCUACGGGAGGCAGCAGUGAGGAAUAUUGGUCAAUGGACGAGAGUCUGAACCAGCCAAGUAGCGUGAAGGAUGACUGCCCUAUGGGUUGUAAACUUCUUUUAUAUGGGAAUAAAACGUUCCACGUGUGGGAUUUUGUAUGUACCAUAUGAAUAAGGAUCGGCUAACUCCGUGCCAGCAGCCGCGGUAAUACGGAGGAUCCGAGCGUUAUCCGGAUUUAUUGGGUUUAAAGGGAGCGUAGGUGGAUUGUUAAGUCAGUUGUGAAAGUUUGCGGCUCAACCGUAAAAUUGCAGUUGAAACUGGCAGUCUUGAGUACAGGAGAGGUAGGCGGAAUUCGUGGUGUAGCGGUGAAAUGCUUAGAUAUCACGAAGAACUCCGAUUGCGAAGGCAGUUCACUGGACUGCAACUGACACUGAGGCUCGAAAGUGUGGGUAUCAAACAGGAUUAGAUACCCGGGUAGUC
This 460-nucleotide ribosomal RNA is filed under the name uncultured bacterium. RNAcentral's name for it is "partial 16S ribosomal RNA". It matches the Rfam family "Bacterial small subunit ribosomal RNA", at positions 338 to 795 of the family's 1533-position model. The record is from RNAcentral.